RNAcentral lists this ribosomal RNA (468 nucleotides) under uncultured bacterium. Its description in RNAcentral is "partial 16S ribosomal RNA". It matches the Rfam family "Bacterial small subunit ribosomal RNA", at positions 28 to 507 of the family's 1533-position model. The record is from RNAcentral.
GACGAACGCUGGCGGCGUGCUUAACACAUGCAAGUCGAACGGAAAGGUCCUGCUUUUGUGGGGUGCUCGAGUGGCGAACGGGUGAGUAACAUGUGAGUAACCUGCCCUUGACUUUGGUAUAACUUCAGGAAACUGGGGCUAAUACCGGAUAAGAGCUCCUGCUGCAGUGUGGGGGUUGGAAAGUUUCGGCGGUUGGGGAUGGACUCGCGGCUUAUCAGCUUGUUGGUGGGGUAGUGGCUUACCAAGGCUUUGACGGGUAGCCGGCCUGAGAGGGUGACCGGCCACAUUGGGACUGGGAUAGGGCCCAGACUCGUACGGGAGGCAGAAGGGGGGAAUAUUGCACAAGGGGCGGAAGCCUGAUGCAGGAACGCCGGGUGCGGGAGGAAGGCCUUCGGGUUGUAAACCGCUUUCGCAUGUGACGAGGCGUGAGUGACGGUAAUGGGAAAAGAAGCACCGGCUAACUACGUG